AUUGAACGCUGGCGGCAGGCCUAACACAUGCAAGUCGAGCGGAUGAAGGGAGCUUGCUCCUGGAUUCAGCGGCGGACGGGUGAGUAAUGCCUAGGAAUCUGCCUGGUAGUGGGGGAUAACGUCCGGAAACGGGCGCUAAUACCGCAUACGUCCUGAGGGAGAAAGUGGGGGAUCUUCGGACCUCACGCUCUCAGAUGAGCCUAGGUCGGAUUAGCUAGUUGGUGGGGUAAAGGCCUACCAAGGCGACGAUCCGUAACUGGUCUGAGAGGAUGAUCAGUCACACUGGAACUGAGACACGGUCAAGACUCCUAAGGGAGGCAGCAGUGGGGAAUAUUGGACAAUGGGCGAAAGCCUGAUCCAGCCAUGCCGCGUGUGUGAAGAAGGUCUUCGGAUUGUAAAGCACUUUAAGUUGGGAGGAAGGGCAGUAAGUUAAUACCUUGCUGUUUUGACGUUACCAACAGAAUAAGCACCGGCUAACUUCGUG
Molecule: ribosomal RNA, 484 nt
Filed under: uncultured bacterium
Lineage: Bacteria
Description: partial 16S ribosomal RNA
Rfam family: Bacterial small subunit ribosomal RNA
Source: RNAcentral